RNAcentral lists this ribosomal RNA (411 nucleotides) under uncultured bacterium. RNAcentral describes it as "bacterial SSU rRNA". It matches the Rfam family "Bacterial small subunit ribosomal RNA", at positions 13 to 410 of the family's 1533-position model. The record is from RNAcentral.
UUGAUCCUGGCUCAGAACGAACGUUAGCGGCGCGCCUAACACAUGCAAGUCGAGCGAGAAGGGAGCAAUCCCAGUAAAAGCGGCGCACGGGUGAGUAACACGUAGGUAAUCUACCUCGAGGUGGUGGAUAACCUUCCGAAAGGAGGGCUAAUACAGCAUGAGACCACGUUUUCGAAAGAGAAUGAGGUCAAAGCGGGCCUCUCUACAGAAGCUCGCGCCACGAGAUGAGCCUGCGGCCCAUCAUGGUAGUUGGUAGGGUAACGGCCUACCAAGCCGAAGACGGGUAGCUGGUCUGAGAGGAUGAUCAGCCACACUGGAACUGAGACACGGUCCAGACUCCUACGGGAGGCAGCAGUGGGAAUCUUAGCGUCAAUGGGCAAAGCCUGACGCAGCGACGCCGCGUGAGUGAUG